RNAcentral lists this transfer RNA (62 nucleotides) under Fukomys damarensis (Damara mole-rat). It matches the Rfam family "tRNA", at positions 1 to 61 of the family's 71-position model. From Rfam's summary of the family: Transfer RNA (tRNA) molecules are approximately 80 nucleotides in length. Their secondary structure includes four short double-helical elements and three loops (D, anti-codon, and T loops). Further hydrogen bonds mediate the characteristic L-shaped molecular structure. tRNAs have two regions of fundamental functional importance: the anti-codon, which is responsible for specific mRNA codon recognition, and the 3' end, to which the tRNAs corresponding amino acid is attached (by aminoacyl-tRNA synthetases). tRNAs cope with the degeneracy of the genetic code in two manners: having more than one tRNA (with a specific anti-codon) for a particular amino acid; and 'wobble' base-pairing, i.e. permitting non-standard base-pairing at the 3rd anti-codon position. Lineage: Eukaryota; Metazoa; Chordata; Mammalia; Rodentia; Bathyergidae. The record is from Rfam by way of RNAcentral.
GGGGCUGAGGUUCAGUGGUAGAGCACAUGCUUAGUAUGCAUGAAGCCCUGGGUUCAGUCCCU